Molecule: ribosomal RNA, 482 nt
Filed under: uncultured bacterium
Lineage: Bacteria
Description: partial 16S ribosomal RNA
Rfam family: Bacterial small subunit ribosomal RNA
Source: RNAcentral
AUUGAACGCUGGCGGCAUGCCUUACACAUGCAAGUCGAACGGUAACGGGUCUGUGGGUGCCGACGAGUGGCGAACGGUGGUGUAAUACAUCGGAAUGUGCCCGAUCGUGUGGGUGAACGAGUCGAUAGCUUUGCUAAUACCGCAUACGAUCUACGGUGUGAUGCAGGGGACCGCAAGGCCUUGCGCGUGCGUUUGUUCGGAUGGCAGAUUAGGUAGUUGGUGGGAUAAAAGCUUACCAAGCCGACGAUCUGUAGCUGGUCUGAGAGGAUGAUCAGCCACACUGGGACUGAGACACGGCCCAGACUCCUACGGGAGCACGCAGUGGGCACAUUUGGACAAUGGGCGCAAGCCUGAUCCAGCCAUGCCGCGUGCAAGAUGAAGGAAUUCGGGUUGUAAACUGCUUUUGUACGGAACGACAAAAAAUCUUUUAAUACAGGAGGGUCAUGACGGUACCGUAAGAAUAAGCACCGGCUAACUACGUG